GCAGUAGCCGCGGGAAUACGGAGGGUGCAAGCGUUAAUCGGAAUUACUGGGCGUAAAGCGCACGCAGGCGGUCUGACAAGUCAGAUGUGAAAUCCCCGGGCUUAACCUGGGAACUGCAUUUGAAACUGUCAGGCUGGAGUCUUGUAGAGGGGGGUGGAAUUCCAGGUGUAGCGGUGAAAUGCGUAGAGAUCUGGAGGAAUACCGGUGGCGAAGGCGGCCCCCUGGACAAAGACUGACGCUCAGGUGCGAAAGCGUGGGGAGCAAACAGGAUUAGAUACCCGCGUAGUCCCUGUCUCUUAUAU
Molecule: ribosomal RNA, 302 nt
Filed under: uncultured bacterium
Lineage: Bacteria
Description: partial 16S ribosomal RNA
Rfam family: Bacterial small subunit ribosomal RNA
Source: RNAcentral